CAGUCGCCACGGUAAUACGAAGGGGGCUAGCGUUGCUCGGAAUUACUGGGCGUAAAGGGCGCGUAGGCGGAUGUUUAAGUCAGAGGUAAAAGCCCAGGGCUCAACCUUGGAACUGCCUUUGAUACUGGACAUCUUGAGUGUGGGAGAGGUGAGUGGAACUCCGAGUGUAGAGGUGAAAUUCGUAGAUAUUCGGAAGAACACCAGUGGCGAAGGCGACUCACUGGCCCAUUACUGACGCUGAGGCGCGAAAGCGUGGGGAGCAAACAGGAUUAGAUACCCCCGUAGUCCCUGUCUCUUAUAA
RNAcentral lists this ribosomal RNA (301 nucleotides) under uncultured bacterium. RNAcentral's name for it is "partial 16S ribosomal RNA". It matches the Rfam family "Bacterial small subunit ribosomal RNA", at positions 509 to 809 of the family's 1533-position model. The record is from RNAcentral.